This is a long non-coding RNA of Dicentrarchus labrax (European seabass), 3819 nucleotides long. RefSeq lists it as uncharacterized. The record is from RefSeq and is a predicted model, not a curated record. Lineage: Eukaryota; Metazoa; Chordata; Actinopteri; Moronidae. The transcript is spliced from 4 exons.
CACACACACACACACACACACACACACACACACACACACACACACAGCAUGCAAACCUGCAACAAUUCAAUAAACUUAUGCACAGCUUUUCCCAUCCACACACUGUGACUAAACCUCGCUUUCGUCUCAUAUUCGCAGCACACCGCUCCUCUACGCUGUCAGUUAACCCUGCAAUUAACCCGCACCUCAGCCAAACAUCAUUAGGGAGGGAGCGAAGGAGGGAGAGGAGAAUUGAGAGCUGCCUUCAGAGAAACAGCAGAAUGGAGUCAAACAGAUGAAGGUGUUUCUUUACAUCAUUUCAUCACUGUAACCCGGGGCAGACAAUGUGAGGAUGUAGCCUACAGAAAAUGUAGUAAUGGAUUUUUAUCCCAGAACACUUCUGCUCUUUACUGGAUAUAUACUGAUGGGUAAUUAAUGCAAGUAUACUAUACACUUAAACAAGACAAAAUACCAUAGAUAUUUUAAGAUUUUUUGUUGAAAUGCAUUGCUUGUUUGGUUUGCUUGUAACAUUUAUAGAAAUUCAAAUUUCAAAACUGUAGAUUACAUCACAAUUGUUCUAAAUAUUACCCAUAAACUAUUAAACUAAUUUCAUAUCCUACAGAACUUUGUAUGUUUAGAUGACAACAAUGCAGCUGGAGAUAAGGUUGAUGAGAUCGUACACUGAGGUUACGGUUCAGACAUUGUUUUCCUCCCUGCUGGUAUACGGCCCCUUAUAUUGGGACAGUGCGGUGCACAUUGUGUCUAGUGGGCAUUGUGGAGUAUCUGGGGGAACUGUUUAGUCCCCCAUAAGAAGAUUAGAGAUGAUUGGUUUUAUUGACCGGCCUAUGCUGCGGUUAUCAGGGCGACUCUCAGAGCACAGAGCCACGCUUUUGUCUGGCCCUCAUUGUUCUUCCCAGCCCAAGACUCUGCACUGAUAUGAAUUUGAUAUGACAGUAAAGUGCCAAUUAUGUACAUACAUGCAAGGCCCUGCUCCCUUUCAGCUCUGUGUGGAGUGAAAAGACAGGGAAGAUGAGGAAGACACGGGAGGAGAGAUAAGGUGAUGGAAUAUCUUGAAGGGUUAGCGAGCGGGUCUUGAGGAUAAUUUGCUGCAAGAAUCUGGAGUCUGUUAUUUUCCGGAUCCUGAUGUUGUCAAUAAAACGCUGCCAUUGAAACAUUGAUGUGUGAUAAAGAGGUUACGUGGGUGUGUGUGUGUUUUUUUUCCUACCAGCUAGCCUGUCACAUCUUAUCAGCAUCAGCUACAUCUGUGAUGUGGUGAUUAUUGUCAUCAAGGGUUACUAAAUUACAGAAAACAUGAAUAUUAUUCUGCCUUCUUUUUAAUGCUGUACAUAUUAGUUGAUUUUAUUUCAAUUUCUUUAUUGAUUUAUUGAUCAUUAAGUUUACCUCCAUUACUGUAUUCAACCAUGGCAAUAGCUUCAUUUGAUAACAGUGUAUAAACUUAUUUCAGAUAUGCUUCAUCAUAAAUCAAAAUUUACUUUACAUGCAUUAUAUAGAUUAUACAGCAUCAUAAAAUAUAAAACUGCUUGCUAUGUGCACUAAUGUGUGUUUACAACUGUAAACUGUGUCUGUGUCUGGCUGUUAGCGUGUGUGUGUGUACUUGAAUCAGGCUAACAUUUGAAAUCAAAGUCGGAAACGGUGUGUAAGUCCAUUUCUAAUUCCCUUUUAUUCCUCUCUUCCUUUUCUCUCGCUUUUAUGUACUUGUCUUGGAAAAAAGGUGUUAAAUCAUCUAAAUCAUUCCCUGGCUAUUAUAUCCAAUUAAUGCCUCCUCAUGGUGUUUUAUUGUGUUAUAAACUGCUAUUGCUUGUGGUUCAGUAGACAAACACAAUGUGUGUCUGUGCCGCCUGCCACUGGGGCUGGCUGUGGCUGUGCUGGGGAGGGACAGAGGGGGACUUGGCCACUGCCCAUGGGGGCCCUGGCCACUCUAAAUCAGUUAGUUUUGGAGGAGAUCCUAGUCGGCUUUUUAAGAGGGUCCAUUAUAGGCUUGUUAAUGCCUCAGCCGAGGGGGAAACACUACUAACUGCACUCAAUUCUCUAUGCACUCAGUCUCCUUCUCACUCGCUCUCUCACAAACACACACACACACACACACACACACACACACACACACACACACACACACACACACACACACACACACACACACACACCUACAAACACACACCCAUUUUCUUCUCUCCCUCACUCUCCUUUCGCUUGUGUGUUUCUUCUUGAGAUGUGUGAGCGACUGUGUGUUGUCUUCUCAGUGUAUCCAGUGUGUUUUCCGUGCACAUGACACACCCAUCUCUGCCUCUGACUCCUCUUCAUGAAUUUCAUGGGUUUGGCCUUCACUGAAAGUAACACAAUAUCACAAAGUCUACCCAUUUCUUGCAUUGAUCUGUGUGCUCUGGGUCUGAAUGUGUUCUUUUGUUAACACAUGUGUGCAGCUAUGGCCAUGUGUGAGUGUGUGUGUGUGUGUGUAUGGUCUGUAAAAUGUGUUAAGCAGAUUGAGGGUUUCUUUGAAGAUGUACUUUGGAGGCUACAGGGGGAUUCAGGAGUGUGUUAUUGCAUAUUUAGGACAGUGUGUGAGGGUCUUUUGAGGGAGUAUGUGUGUGGGAAAUUUUAAUUCACACUAUAAGUGUGAAGCAGCUUAGUUCAUUUAUCACUGAAAGGAAAUACCCAGAGUGGUGUUUCAACUCCCAGUAGGUCCGCUGUCACACUGAGCUCUGGAGGAUCCUAACUAGCUGCAAAACCAAAAACUACAAAGUUCAUCGAGGAACAAUUGCUUGCUGGUAAUGUCAGUUACCACUUCAUCUCCUGUUUCAUCCAUAUGCAGACGUUUUUAUUCAGUUGUGUUUUCCCGCUGCUUUAUAUUGAGUUCUGCAUUUUUCUUCUCAGCCAAAGCGGUCACGGCUGCUUUGUUCUGCUCGUGGUCGAGCUAUAGGCAGCGAUAUUGCCACACCUGAGGUGCAAGCUAAUGUCCUCCAUCUCCGCAUUCUGAACCGUCGUCAAGGAAAGGUGCCUCUUGGUUGCCCUGGAAACCAUGCCUCCCAGCAUGCUUUGUGGUUCAAUCUCAGAAGCCUGAUAAAGUGUGAAACCAAUAACUGAUAAAGUAUCAGUCAGCAGGCAGUGCUGUCCAGUGGUGAACCUGGAAAUGGACCUUUUCCUGAACACUGACCAGAUAAGCAAAAUCAGAAAUAACUGACUCCAGGGAGCGCCUGUCAAGUCUUACUGGCGACCGCAGAGAGUCGGCAGCUGUCCAUCCCUCUCCCCGCACUGCCCUGCAUUGACUGAAACACCAACAGCCCAAAUUCAGCUGAAAAUUUCCACAGAGAAUAAUCAGGCUAAAACAUGUUAUGUUGUUAUUAUAAAUCAAAAGCCAUCACUAAUAUUGUAUAUACAGGCUGGAGCAAAUAUCAUAUUAUGAUGAAAAAUUGAAUUUCAACAUAUACUUAUGUGGCAAAUUAUAUAGACUCUUCUAUUUGUAGCCAGUGUUAUUUUCGGUUUCUGUUGAACUCUGUGUUGUCUGAGAAUAAUUGAUUGACUGUAUGCUUUCAUAUUUACAUCAAAUCAGUCCCCAGGGCUGCACUGUGCAGAAUAAAAAUCGGAAAUGGCGUAACCUAUGUCAUCUUUAUUCUGAGAGUAUCUCCUCUCCCCUCCUCUCCUGUAACAUGGCUACAAGUAACGUUAAUUUCUUUGUGCCUCUAGACAGAAUCAAAUGCUAUCUGUAAUAUGCAGCCUUGAUGAAAAUGUGUAUGAAUCACCAAGGGCAAGCCUGAGAAAUUUAAUUCUUUUAGGUUAUAUGACUCACUGUAAAACACUACCAAUAAAAGUGUCUGCAUGCUC